CAAUAGCGUAUAUUAAAGUUGUUGCAGUUAAAAAGCUCGUAGUUGGAUUUGUGGCGUACGGUGUGUUCCGGGCACUUGUUGUCUGAGUAACCUGCUGUUGCCAUCCUUGGGUGGAACCUGUGUGGCAUUAGGUUGUCGUGCAGGGGAUGCCCAUCAUUUACUGUGAAAAAAUUAGUGUGUUCAAAGCAGGCUUAUGCCGUUGAAUAUAUUAGCAUGGAAUAAUGAGAUAGGACUUUUUUGCUAUUUUGUUGGUUUGCGCAAAGAGGUAAUGAUUAAUAGGGACAGUUGGGGGUAUUCGUAUUCCAUUGUCAGAGGUGAAAUUCUUGGAUUUUUGGAAGACGAACUACUGCGAAAGCAUUUACCAAGGAUGUUUUCAUUAA
RNAcentral lists this ribosomal RNA (380 nucleotides) under uncultured eukaryote. RNAcentral describes it as "partial 18S ribosomal RNA". It matches the Rfam family "Eukaryotic small subunit ribosomal RNA", at positions 592 to 976 of the family's 1831-position model. The record is from RNAcentral.